RNAcentral lists this ribosomal RNA (446 nucleotides) under uncultured bacterium. RNAcentral's name for it is "bacterial SSU rRNA". It matches the Rfam family "Bacterial small subunit ribosomal RNA", at positions 64 to 524 of the family's 1533-position model. The record is from RNAcentral.
GAACGGGGAUACGGGAGCUUGCUUCUGUAUUAUAGUGGCGGACGGGUGAGUAACGCGUGAGCAACCUGCCUUACGGAGAGGGACAACAGCUGGAAACGGCUGCUAAUACCUCAUGAAGUACAUUUAUGGCAUCAUAGAUGUACCAAAGAUUUAUCGCCGUAAGAUGGGCUCGCGUCUGAUUAGCUAGUUGGUGAGGUAACGGCUCACCAAGGCGACGAUCAGUAGCCGGACUGAGAGGUUGACCGGCCACAUUGGGACUGAGAUACGGCCCAGACUCCUACGGGAGGCAGCAGUGGGGAAUAUUGGGCAAUGGGGGCAACCCUGACCCAGCAACGCCGCGUGAAGGAAGAAGGCUUUACGGGUUGUAAACUUCUUUGACCAGGGACGAUAAUGACGGUACCUGGAAAACAAGCCACGGCUAACUACGUGCCAGCAGCCGCGGUAAU